RNAcentral lists this ribosomal RNA (546 nucleotides) under uncultured beta proteobacterium. Its description in RNAcentral is "bacterial SSU rRNA". It matches the Rfam family "Bacterial small subunit ribosomal RNA", at positions 28 to 573 of the family's 1533-position model. Lineage: Bacteria; Pseudomonadati; Pseudomonadota; Betaproteobacteria. The record is from RNAcentral.
GAUGAACGCUGGCGGCGUGCUUAACACAUGCAAGUCGAACGAAGCACUUGAAUGGAUUUCUUCGGAAUGAAGCUCUUGUGACUGAGUGGCGGACGGGUGAGUAACGCGUGGGUAACCUGCCUCAUACAGGGGGAUAACAGCUGGAAACGGCUGCUAAUACCGCAUAAGCGCACGGAAUCGCAUGAUUUAGUGUGCAAAACUCCGGUGGUAUGAGAUGGACCCGCGUCUGAUUAGCUGGUUGGCAGGGUAACGGCCUACCAAGGCGACGAUCAGUAGCCGACCUGAGAGGGUGACCGGCCACAUUGGGACUGAGACACGGCCCAAACUCCUACGGGAGGCAGCAGUGGGGAAUAUUGCACAAUGGGGGAAACCCUGAUGCGGCGACGCCGCGUGAGCGAAGAAGUAUUUCGGUAUGUAAAGCUCUAUCAGCAGGGAAGAAGAAUGACGGUACCUGACUAAGAAGCACCGGCUAAAUACGUGCCAGCAGCCGCGGUAAUACGUAUGGUGCAAGCGUUAUCCGGAUUUACUGGGUGUAAAGGGAGCGCA